This 253-nucleotide ribosomal RNA is filed under the name uncultured bacterium. Its description in RNAcentral is "partial 16S ribosomal RNA". It matches the Rfam family "Bacterial small subunit ribosomal RNA", at positions 524 to 776 of the family's 1533-position model. The record is from RNAcentral.
UACGUAGGGUGCAGGCGUUAGUCGGAAUUACUGGGCGUAAAGCGUGCGCAGGCGGUUUGCUAAGACAGGUGUGAAAUCCCCGGGCUUAACCUGGGAACUGCGCUUGUUACUGGCAGGCUUGAGUGUGGCAGAGGGGGGUGGAAUUCCACGUGUAGCAGUGAAAUGCGUAGAGAUGUGGAGGAACACCGAUGGCGAAGGCAGCCCCCUGGGCUAACACUGACGCUCAUGCACGAAAGCGUGGGGAGCAAACAGG